CCUACGGGAGGCAGCAGUAGGGAAUAUUGGGCAAUGGAGGCAACUCUGACCCAGCCAUGCCGCGUGCAGGAUGAAGGCGUUAUGCGUUGUAAACUGCUUUUAUAUAGGAAGAAAGAGUUCUUGCGAGAACAGUUGACGGUACUAUAUGAAUAAGCACCGGCUAACUCCGUGCCAGCAGCCGCGGUAAUACGGAGGGUGCAAGCGUUGUCCGGAUUUAUUGGGUUUAAAGGGUGCGUAGGCGGUUUAUUAAGUCAGUGGUGAAAGACGGUCGCUCAACGAUUGCAGUGCCAUUGAUACUGGUAGACUUGAGUGAGAUUGAGGUAGCUGGAAUGGAUAGUGUAGCGGUGAAAUGCAUAGAUAUUAUCCAGAACACCAAUUGCGUAGGCAAGUUACUAAGUCUCAACUGACGCUGAGGCACGAAAGUGUGGGUAUCAAACAGGAUUAGAUACCCUGGUAGUCCACACUGUAAACGAUGAUAACUAACUGUUGGCUUUCGGGUCAGUGGUACAGAGAAAUCGUUAAGUUAUCCACCUGGGGAGUACGCCGGCAACGGUGAAACUCAAAGGAAUUGACGGCGNGAGAGAGCGAGGACGACACGAGGGAGAGG
RNAcentral lists this ribosomal RNA (607 nucleotides) under uncultured bacterium. Its description in RNAcentral is "bacterial SSU rRNA". It matches the Rfam family "Bacterial small subunit ribosomal RNA", at positions 338 to 950 of the family's 1533-position model. The record is from RNAcentral.